Molecule: long non-coding RNA, 223 nt
Filed under: Lathyrus oleraceus (garden pea)
Lineage: Eukaryota; Viridiplantae; Streptophyta; Magnoliopsida; Fabales; Fabaceae
Description: Pisum sativum (pea) long non-coding RNA (PSAT_LNC031387)
Source: RNAcentral
UGGUACCAGAGGAGGCAUCAUGGGCAUAACCGGUUACAUUAAUUGGUUGCCACUGAAAUAAUUAUUUUUAUAGCAGUUGUAACCAGUUACAGGUUUAGUGCAAUCGGUUACAGGUCCGAGAAAACUGUUUUUCUGUUAUUUGUUUGUGUAAUUUGUAUCCUAACUAUCUUGUAAUGCUUGUAUAAAUGCCAUGGAGGCAUCCUCAUUGUUAAUGAAACUUUUU